GUUAGUGGCGGACGGGUGAGUAACACGUGGGCAACCUGCCUGUAAGUUGGGGAUAACUCCGGGAAACCGGGGCUAAUACCGAAUGAUAGAGUGUGGCGCAUGCCACGCUCUUGAAAGAUGGUUUCGGCUAUCGCUUACAGAUGGGCCCGCGGUGCAUUAGCUAGUUGGUAGGGUAAUGGCCUACCAAGGCAACGAUGCAUAGCCGACCUGAGAGGGUGAUCGGCCACACUGGGACUGAGACACGGCCCAGACUCCUACGGGAGGCAGCAGUAGGGAAUCUUCCGCAAUGGACGAAAGUCUGACGGAGCAACGCCGCGUGUAUGAAGAAGGUUUUCGGAUCGUAAAGUACUGUUGUUAGAGAAGAACAAGGAUAAGAGUAACUGCUUG
RNAcentral lists this ribosomal RNA (387 nucleotides) under Listeria innocua. Its description in RNAcentral is "bacterial SSU rRNA". It matches the Rfam family "Bacterial small subunit ribosomal RNA", at positions 91 to 471 of the family's 1533-position model. The record is from RNAcentral. Lineage: Bacteria; Bacillati; Bacillota; Bacilli; Caryophanales; Listeriaceae.